GACAGAGGGUGCAAACGUUGCUCGGAAUCACUGGGCGUAAAGCGCGUGUAGGCGGACAAUCAAGUCAGGUGUGAAAUCCCCGGGCUCAACCUGGGAACUGCAUCUGAAACUGGUUGUCUUGAGUGUCGGAGAGGGAAGCGGAAUUCCUGGUGUAGAGGUGAAAUUCGUAGAUAUCAGGAGGAACACCGGUGGCGAAGGCGGCUUCCUGGACGACAACUGACGCUGAGACGCGAAAGUGUGGGUAGCAAACAGG
Molecule: ribosomal RNA, 253 nt
Filed under: uncultured bacterium
Lineage: Bacteria
Description: partial 16S ribosomal RNA
Rfam family: Bacterial small subunit ribosomal RNA
Source: RNAcentral